UGAGGAACAUGACCUUCGGCGGGGGAGUAGCCGGCCCAACGGCCGGGUAAUACCGCGUACGACCACAUGGGGACAUCCCCGAGUGGUGAAAGCAGCAAUGCGCCGAUGGAGUGCCUCGCGGCCUAUCAGCUAGUUGGUGAGGUAACGGCUCACCAAGGCGACGACGGGUAGCUGGUCUGAGAGGGCGAUCGGCCACACUGGGACUGAGACACGGCCCAGACUCCUACGGGAGCAG
Molecule: ribosomal RNA, 235 nt
Filed under: uncultured bacterium
Lineage: Bacteria
Description: partial 16S ribosomal RNA
Rfam family: Bacterial small subunit ribosomal RNA
Source: RNAcentral